This 644-nucleotide ribosomal RNA is filed under the name uncultured bacterium. RNAcentral's name for it is "bacterial SSU rRNA". It matches the Rfam family "Bacterial small subunit ribosomal RNA", at positions 202 to 842 of the family's 1533-position model. The record is from RNAcentral.
UAAAGGAAGCGAUUCCGGCUACGGAUGGUCAUGCGUCGCAUUAGCUAGUUGGCGGGGUAACGGCCCACCAAGGCGACGAUGCGUAGGGGUUCUGAGAGGAAGGUCCCCCACACUGGUACUGAGACACGGACCAGACUCCUACGGGAGGCAGCAGUGAGGAAUAUUGGUCAAUGGCCGCAGGGCUGAACCAGCCAAGUCGCGUGAGGGAUGACGGUCCUAUGGAUUGUAAACCUCUUUUGUCAGGGAGCAAAGGACGCCACGUGUGGCGUUUUGCGAGUACCUGAAGAAAAAGCAUCGGCUAACUCCGUGCCAGCAGCCGCGGUAAUACGGAGGAUGCGAGCGUUAUCCGGAUUUAUUGGGUUUAAAGGGUGCGCAGGCGGAAUGUCAAGUCAGCGGUAAAAUUUCGGGGCUCAACCCCGUCGUGCCGUUGAAACUGGCGUUCUUGAGUGAGCGAGAAGUAUGCGGAAUGCGUGGUGUAGCGGUGAAAUGCAUAGAUAUCACGCAGAACUCCGAUUGCGAAGGCAGCAUACCGGCGCUCAACUGACGCUCAUGCACGAAAGCGUGGGUAUCGAACAGGAUUAGAUACCCUGGUAGUCCACGCAGUAAACGAUGAAUAGUAACUGUCCGGGCCGAUUGAGGUCUGG